Thamnophis sirtalis is the source of this 1277-nucleotide long non-coding RNA. RefSeq lists it as uncharacterized. The record is from RefSeq and is a predicted model, not a curated record. Lineage: Eukaryota; Metazoa; Chordata; Lepidosauria; Squamata; Natricidae.
UGUGAGCGCGUCUUUCUGCGUGGUGGUUGGCGUUUCGUUUCGUUUCUCUUUUUUUUUAAUUUCUAUCACAUGGCAGCGUGCGAGAGAGAUACAAUAAAAACAGAAAAAUGGCGACAGUCACGUUGUGGCGACUCUGUGCUGCGUCAUUAGAUAAUCUUCGCGCAAAGAAAGCUAAAGAACAAAGACGAGAGAGAGCGCGAGGGGGGUGGAAAGCAGCGCAUCUGGAAAGGCAGUGAAGAAGUAAAGAUGCCUUAUGCCUUUUUCUGAGGAAUACAGCUCCUACUGUUGCCAGCGUCAAAUCUGUAAGCAUUUCUCUGUGGGCUUGUUUGUUUGGGCUAUGAGGCUUUGAUGGAAAAGAAACUAGGAUUGCAUGUCAGCUAUGACUGACAGUAAUAAGAUGCUUGUGAGAUGAAUGUGUUGAAUUAUAUAUGUUUAGUAGUCUUGACAAGACAAGUAUCAUUUGGGGUAGAUGAGACUUCUGUCUCUCACAGAAUUCUUAAGCAAAUAUUAAAAAUAAUAUAGUUGAAGACAGUGGUAUUUUUAAAAGCAGAGUCUAGCAAGAAAUAUGUACAACAUUUUGCAGAUAGAUGGUGCAGUUGAGAUUUAGGAUGUGAAUAUGAUGUUGUGAUUUAUCCGUUUCCGUAUGUUUUGCUCUUUAUCUGCAAACAGUGGUCUUUUUAAUUCUGCAGUCUAAUGUGUACUUAACUUAAAGUAUUUCUAAGUAAACAUGCUAGGCUUGGCUUGUAUGUUGUGGAUCUUGAAUGGGUAAGAUGUAAUCCAUAGCUUGGUUACAGUCUUUCAAAAAAACACUUUUUAUCUCCUUCAGCAUCUAUUGCCUAGAAAGAGAAGAGUGGAAAUCAGAUAUGGGAAAUCAGAGCAAACAAAAGACAACUAAGUAAAAAUAUAACAAUAUGUAAAUAUUUAGAAUUUUCCAGGAACCUCCUUCAGUUCCAUCUGAAGAUCCACCACCAACUGGAUAUGGAAUUAAUGCAUCUAAAAAAAGUAGGUUACAAUGAUAUGUUUCAUUGUAGAUCAAAAAUCUGCAUCCGGUCCAAAUGCUACAGUCUAUUUUAAACUUUGGAAUGCUAUUUCUGAGCAGAGGAAAAUAAUAAUCUCAUCUUGUUAUAAUUAUUUCCCCAACAUGUCAGCAUCGUCUGAAGAAUUCAGAAUUUAUAUGCACAUCCUUAAGCAAUAAAACUUAUUCAUUUGGAUGGUGGGGAAUGGCCAGCUGUCUGCAAGGAAUAUAAAUCCUUCCAUUCCCCACCAUCCUGUCAGAG